AUUGAACGCUAGCGGGAUGCCUUACACAUGCAAGUCGAACGGAGUGGCGAACGGGUGAGUAAUGUAUCGGAACGUGCCCAGUAGCGGGGGAUAACUACGCGAAAGCGUAGCUAAUACCGCAUACCAUUGGAGCGGCCGUUAUCGGAUUAGCUAGUGGGUGGGGUAACGGCUCACCAAGGCGACGAUCCGUAGCUGGUUUGAGAGGAGGACCAGCCAAACUGGGACUGAACCACGGCCCGGACUCCUGCGGGAGUCAGCAGUGGGGAAUUUUGGACAAUGGGGGAAACCCGGAUCCAUCCAUCCCGCGUGUGCAGUGAAGGCCUUCGGGUUGUAAAGCACUUUUGGCAGGAAAGCGGUACCUGCAGAAUAAGCACCGGCUAACUACGUGCCAGCCGCCGCGGUAAUUC
Molecule: ribosomal RNA, 407 nt
Filed under: uncultured bacterium
Lineage: Bacteria
Description: partial 16S ribosomal RNA
Rfam family: Bacterial small subunit ribosomal RNA
Source: RNAcentral